UCCCAAACUCCUUUGGUUAGUUAGUGGGGUUGGGGGCCAAUUCUGAUCCUCCAUAGUUACUAGCUGCUUAAUCAUCUAUGGCUGUUUGCCAGUUUCACAACCCUGAGACCUCUGUUCACCUCCUUUACUCGUGCUGGGAGGGUCAGUUCUGCUCAACCCACUGCAGAUGGUCCACGUGAGCAUUCAGGAUUUUGCAUUUCUGCUGGAGCAGUUCGCUAGUGUGGAUAGGACCUCUGGAUGUACUAAGUCGCUCAGUGGGGACCUUGUGAUGUCUGUCUACCGUAGUCUGGCUGAGCAAUCACAUUCCUGAGAGAUGGGCUCACGGAGAAUCUGUCCACAGGAGCACCAUUGCUUCCGAAAUUAAAUUUGCUCAUGACUCCAAAUUCUCAGCUACAGCUGUUGUUGCCAUUCCAGACUCCAAAGUACAGAUCAAUUUCUUACAAGUGGGAUGUAGGCGAGCCACACAAGGGCUGGACUCUUUUGCCCUAGCGACUCCUUGGACAUCUGCCUAUUAGAAUCUGGGUGUGCAGACAGGGGUCUGUUAUUGACCAGGAACAGCCUGUGCUAUGGUGUGGAGGUGGGACGAGAAUGUGAAGAAGCAAGAACUUCGCUUUGCCCAAACGUACUAACCACCCGGCAGCCACCAUCCUCUGAGUGCCUACUCUGAGCUGGAUACUGCAGAAGGUACUUGAUAUCCAUGUUUCUAAUCCCCAUCACUCUGUUCAGGCCAGGCAGGCAUAUCCCCUUUUGAUAAAUGAGGAAACUGAGGUUCAUAUAGAUAAAUGUUUAAUUAAAGUCACAAAGCAAGUGAUGCAGCUUGAAUGUGAACCCAGAUCAUCGAAUUCUGAUGGUGUGAUUUCAUUGUGCUGAAAGUGGGUCCAGCUUGGAGCAGGGCCACUGCCCUCAUCUCUCAAGGUUUACCUUCUCAGGUCCCAAGCACCACUUACCCAGAGUUCCUAGACGCAAAGGAAUAUUUGGCACCAUACUGGUGUUAAAAAUGGGAUUUCUUCCACGUAUAUUUUUGGGUUUAAGUUCUUAGAAGAAGCCAUUCUCUUUUUAUAGCUGGCUGCCUGCUGCCCAGCCCGUAAUACCAAAACGUAUGGUUUUCCUGUAGCCAGAGCCCUCUCUAAAGUUCCUACUAUUUGCUGAUCCACUAGCUGGUUCCGAAGUGAGAUGGGUUCCAAGGGCCUGGGUCUCUCGCCUCAGUGGGCCAGGUGGGGGCCUGAGUUGUCAUCUGUGGCCCAACAUACCUGGCAUUUAAAGUCCUUAGAGUUGGCAGCAUACGUAAAUGUGUGAUAUUGUGGGUUUUUUAAAAAUAGACCCGGACUCAUCAGCAAUGGGAGAUAAAAUAACAACUCUUGCUUCUGCUUUAAUUAAUGUUUGGUUAGUUCUAGCUCAAGGCACGUAUUAAAAGGGGCUAUUUUACCUAAAAUAACCAAUUGAAAAUCCUCUAUUUGCCAGGUAUUUUUUCACCCAACCCAAUUCCCUUCAUGCUCAGCCCCUCCCUCCCACAUACCCCCAACCAUGCUAGCAGGGCAGCCCCGGAGGCAGGGAACAAUCUCUCUUCCUCUCUUCACCCCAAUACCCCCCAAUCAUUUCAUCAAAGGGACACUCAGCUCUUUAUGAGACAGUGAAGAGAAUUAUUAAGUAGGAGUUCCGAAGCUAUAGAGCCCUCCUACUCCUGCCCCUGCAAUUUAUUAACUGUGUGACUUGGGGCAAGUUAUUUCACAUCUCUGAGCCUCAGUUUCCUCUACCUAUGAAAUAGGGAUAAUAACAGGAACAACCUAAAAGCGUUGUUGUGAGGAUGAGCUGUCAUGUGCUUAGCAGGGUACCUGGACCAGAAGAGAUACAUGGUAGAAGCAGCUACUACUACUCAGAAAUGAAAGAUGACACGGAAAGAAGUUUUCAGUAUGCUGUUAAGUGAAAAAGGCAGGUUAUAAAACAGACUAUACUACAUGGACCCCUUUGAAAACUCAACGUUGGCAGAGAUAAGUGUCUGGAAGGAUGUAAAUGAAAAGAUAUUACAGAAGUCAUCUAGGCAGCUGAUCAUGGGCUCUCUUUCUUUUCCACAUUCUCACUUCCAUUUCCUGGUUUUCUAAAUGAGUACCUGUAAUACUUAUAGUAAGUAGAAAACCUAGAACAUACUGGUUAAAAUUAUGGACUAUGGGAUCACCCAACCUGGGUUCAAAUCCCAAUGUCUUCUUUUACGGGCUGUGUGACUUUGGGAAAGUGGCUUAGUCUCUCUGAGUUUCAGCUCACUCGUCUGCAAAAUGGUGAUAACAAUAAUACCUCCUCAUGUCAGCCACUAAGUAUUGUUGUUGUCCUUUCAUCACUAAUUUGGUGGGUGGCAAGGAAUCAGGAAGAAGGAAGGAAGGGACCAAUAUAGAUGGGGAAGUGAAGGAAAGUCUCUUUCAGAGGGUGAAAUUUAAGCUGAAAGCUGAAGGUUGAGAAUGAUCUAGAUGUGUGAAGAACCUAGAGGAACAACAUUCUAGACAGAGGAGACAAGAAGAACAAAGGUUCUGAGGCAGGAAAAGGCUUCAUGUGUUCAAGAUCAUUGGCAGCAUAGGAGGAGUCUGGAGAGUGAGGCAAGAACAAGACAAGCAAAGCCUCUGAAGCCAGGGCAUAGACUCUGGAUUUAAUGACCAAAACUGCAGCUCCGAGUGCCACUUCCUCCAAGAAGCCUGCCUGGCUGCUGCUUCCCAUCCUCACUUCUCAUUUCUCUGAACUCUUCUACUUUUCCCGUCAGUACCACUCCUUGUUCUGCUCUUUUUCACACUGUUACCACUAUAUUAUCAAAUAAUUAAGGGAUUUUAGAUAUCUUCAUAAUUCCCUAUAACCUAGUGCUAUCUCAAUAUUUGUUGAGUGAAUAUGAAACUCCAUAAGUAGGCAAUUUGUAAUGCUUUCCUCUGCGCUACCUAUACAGAAAAUAUUUCUUAAGCUAAUUAAUAGCAAAAACAUGAUUGCACAAGGAAUCAUUUACUCUGAGUUAGUAAACUGAUUUUAAAAACUUCAGAAGCACCCAUUUUUGAGAAACUGGUAUCUCAGAUACAUCCAUAAUUCUUACACAGUCAUAAACUCAUGUUCCCUCAGCAUCUUUGUUCUGCAAAGUGGUUGUCAAGAGAAAAUUAUUGCAUAAAGUUAAAAUAGUAAAACAGUUUCUUUAAAAAUAUUAUAAAAGACUGAUGUUCUCACAAAUUUAGACAGGCUCCCACACUCUUGGUGAAUCUCUAUUGUAACUUUGCCUGAAUUAUUAUAGAUAUAGAAUACUAACUUCGGGUCUCUCCCCUAUUC
Diceros bicornis minor is the source of this 3291-nucleotide long non-coding RNA. RefSeq lists it as uncharacterized. The record is from RefSeq and is a predicted model, not a curated record. The transcript is spliced from 4 exons. NCBI's taxonomy places the organism in Eukaryota, Metazoa, Chordata, Mammalia, Perissodactyla, Rhinocerotidae.